GUACUGCUGAAGAGUCCCAAACUAGGACGGAGGAAACAGCUGGCUGUCCAGUAC
RNAcentral lists this non-coding RNA (54 nucleotides) under Trichobilharzia regenti. Lineage: Eukaryota; Metazoa; Platyhelminthes; Trematoda; Strigeidida; Schistosomatidae. The record is from RNAcentral.